GUGUUUCAGCAGUGCAUAUACUAAAAUUGGAACGAUACAGAGAAGACUAGCAUGGCCCCUGCACA
Cercocebus atys (sooty mangabey) is the source of this 65-nucleotide small nuclear RNA. The record is from Ensembl. NCBI's taxonomy places the organism in Eukaryota, Metazoa, Chordata, Mammalia, Primates, Cercopithecidae.